CUGCCCCUGACUCUGGGAUAAGCGCUGGAAACGGCGUCUAAUACUGGAUACGAACCACGAAGGCAUCUUCAGUGGUUGGAAAGAUUUUUUGGUUGGGGAUGGGCUCGCGGCCUAUCAGCUUGUUGGUGAGGUAAUGGCUCACCAAGGCGUCGACGGGUAGCCGGCCUGAGAGGGUGACCGGCCACACUGGGACUGAGACACGGCCCAGACUCCUACGGGAGGCAGCAGUGGGGAAUAUUGCACAAUGGGCGGAAGCCUGAUGCAGCAACGCCGCGUGAGGGAUGACGGCCUUCGGGUUGUAAACCUCUUUUAGCAGGGAAGAAGCGAAAGUGACGGUACCUGCAGAAAAAGCGCCGGCUAACUACGUGCCAGCAGCCGCGGUAAUACGUAGGGCGCAAGCGUUAUCCGGAAUUAUUGGGCGUAAAGAGCUCGUAGGCGGUUUGUCGCGUCUGCUGUGAAAUCCCGAGGCUCAACCUCGGGCCUGCAGUGGGUACGGGCAGACUAGAGUGCGGUAGGGGAGAUUGGAAUUCCUGGUGUAGCGGUGGAAUGCGCAGAUAUCAGGAGGAACACCGAUGGCGAAGGCAGAUCUCUGGGCCGUAACUGACGCUGAGGAGCGAAAGGGUGGGGAGCAAACAGGCUUAGAUACCCUGGGUAGUCCACCCCGUAAACGUUGGGAACUAGUUGUGGGGUCCAUUCCACGGAUUCCGUGACGCAGCUAACGCAWUAAAGUUCCCCGCCUGGGGAGUACGGGCSGCAGGGCUAAAAACUCAAAGGAAUUGACGGGGGRACCCGCACAAGCCGGCGGAGC
Molecule: ribosomal RNA, 808 nt
Filed under: Microbacterium sp.
Lineage: Bacteria; Bacillati; Actinomycetota; Actinomycetes; Micrococcales; Microbacteriaceae
Description: bacterial SSU rRNA
Source: RNAcentral